CCGGGGGCGGGGAGAGGGGCGGGGCUUUCCGCCGAAAGGGGGCGGGGCGCGCGGAGGAGGCGGGGCGAGCGCAGGGGAGGCUGGCGAGCAGAGAGUGCCCUUGUGUCGCCAGCCGGCGAGCGGCUGGGAGCGAGCAGCCGCCCCGCGCCGCCAGCGGGACGGGACGGGACAGCACGGCACGGGACAGCACGGCGCGGGGCGGGACAGGCCGGGCCGCAGGGACAGCCGGACCGACCCGCCGGUAGGGGCGAGGGGAGCCAGCGGGGGCAGCCGGCACCGCUCGGUGGAGGGAAGCAGCCCGGCGGCGGCAGAGCCGGCGGGGAGAGCUGCUCCCCCCACUUCCCUCCCCAAUCCACCCCCGCGACCCCGGCCCUCCUCCUCCUCCUCCUCCUCACCCCACUGGAUACAGCGAGGGAGACACUGCGGCGGCGGAGGCGGCGGCGGCGGCUCCUGCGGGGGGAAGGAAGCGCCCGGAGAGCGGAGCGGCGGGAGGCUGCGGAUCUGCGUGCCUGGCGCCCACCCAGCCCGAGGGGAGCCCCCAGGAUGCGGCUCAAGCCCGGCGCGCUCCUGCGCUUCUACAGCCUCUGCGGGAUCCUCAUGCAAGUGUCCAAAGUGCUCUCAUUACCUGGAUUACAGAGUCAUAAAAUCACCACACUCUUACCUGUGGUCCUGUCAAAGUGAAACAAAAGGAACAGAAAGAAGACUACAUCUCUUUUAUAAGUACGUGUAUAAUAAAAACACUGCAAAAGAAAUAAAGAUUUCUCAAUCGUCCAUUUUUAAGGAAAUGACCAUAAUUUUCCAGUUCCUUGAUGUUUUUUUUACAGUAAUCCAUAAAGGCUUAUUACAUUUCAUGGUAGACCUUUCUGACAGUAAACUUGUAUUGGAUAUUGAAGUGUUGAAAGAGCUUUGA
RNAcentral lists this long non-coding RNA (910 nucleotides) under Anser cygnoides (Swan goose). Its description in RNAcentral is "lncRNA (ENSACDG00005007371.1)". The record is from RNAcentral. Lineage: Eukaryota; Metazoa; Chordata; Aves; Anseriformes; Anatidae.